UCAGAGCUGCCCAUUAUGAGCUGGGUUCUGUCAGAACCAAUUCAUAAGGUAGAUGGAUCCAGCAGUAAUUCGUCGUAAGAUGGACGUGAGGAAUCUGGGAUCAGCAUAAACAAGGCCAGAGAGUACAGAUAAGCUACAUGAACAGGUAGUCCAAUCUAAGACAGAUGGCAAGGUCCAGGAUUUUCCCAAUGAUCCAAAGUAAUUACCUUCAGAAGACAACAUGAGUUAAUAUCAAUGGUCAUUUUUCCACAUCUGCAAAUUCAGCAAGAUGGUAUUACUUCUUAAAAAUUUUCUUUCUGCUCAAGGAUACAAUGUUCAUAUUUCCACCUUGGAAGAGGAGAGUUGUAACUUGGAUAACUUGUUGAAGAGAGAAGUGGAAGGAUUUGUCUUCAAGAACUUUAUAAUAAAACUACUUUAAAAAUAGGAGA
Non-coding RNA from Macaca mulatta (Rhesus monkey), 428 nucleotides. The record is from RefSeq and is a predicted model, not a curated record. Lineage: Eukaryota; Metazoa; Chordata; Mammalia; Primates; Cercopithecidae.